AAAGUCGUAACAAGGUCUCCGUUGGUGAACCAGCGGAGGGAUCAUUACCGAGUUUACAACUCCCAAACCCCUGUGAACAUACCUUAUGUUGCCUCGGCGGAUCAGCCCGCGCCCCGUAAAAAGGGACGGCCCGCCGCAGGAACCCUAAACUCUGUUUUUAGUGGAACUUCUGAGUAUAAAAAACAAAUAAAUCAAAACUUUCAACAACGGAUCUCUUGGUUCUGGCAUCGAUGAAGAACGCAGCAAAAUGCGAUAAGUAAUGUGAAUUGCAGAAUUCAGUGAAUCAUCGAAUCUUUGAACGCACAUUGCGCCCGCCAGUAUUCUGGCGGGCAUGCCUGUUCGAGCGUCAUUUCAACCCUCAAGCCCAGCUUGGUGUUGGGAGCUGCAGUCCUGCUGCACUCCCCAAAUACAUUGGCGGUCACGUCGAGCUUCCAUAGCGUAGUAAUUUACACAUCGUUACUGGUAAUCGUCGCGGCCACGCCGUUAAACCCCAACUUCUGAAUGUUGACCUCGGAUCAGGUAGGAAUACCCGCUGAACUUAAGCAUAUCAAUA
RNAcentral lists this ribosomal RNA (553 nucleotides) under Fusarium culmorum. RNAcentral describes it as "eukaryotic LSU rRNA". The stretch from base 196 to 349 matches the Rfam family "5.8S ribosomal RNA". The record is from RNAcentral. Lineage: Eukaryota; Fungi; Ascomycota; Sordariomycetes; Hypocreales; Nectriaceae.